GUGACUGCGUACCUUUUGUAUAAUGGGUCAGCGACUUAUAUUUUGUAGCAAGGUUAACCGAAUAGGGGAGCCGUAGGGAAACCGAGUCUUAACUGGGCGUGUAGUUGCAAGGUAUAGACCCGAAACCCGGUGAUCUAGCCAUGGGCAGGUUGAAGGUUGGGUAACACUAACUGGAGGACCGAACCGACUAAUGUUGAAAAAUUAGCGGAUGACUUGUGGCUGGGGGUGAAAGGCCAAUCAAACCGGGAGAUAGCUGGUUCUCCCCGAAAUCUAUUUAGGUAGAGCCUUGAGCGGACACCUUUGGGGGUAGAGCACUGUUUCGGCUAGGGGGCCAUCCCGGCUUACCAACCCGAUGCAAACUCCGAAUACCAAAGAGUGAUACUCAGGAGACACACGGCGGGUGCUAACGUUCGUCGUGAAGAGGGAAACAACCCAGACCGCCAGCUAAGGUCCCAAAGUCUAUAUUAAGUGGGAAACGAAGUGGGAAGGCUUAGACAGCUAGGAUGUUGGCUUAGAAGCAGCCACCAUUUAAAGAAAGCGUAAUAGCUCACUAGUCGAGUCGGCCUGCGCGGAAGAUGUAACGGGGCUCAAAUAUAGCACCGAAGCUGCGGCAUCAGAUGUAAAUCUGUUGGGUAGGGGAGCGUUCUGUAAGCGGAUGAAGGUGAAUCGAGAGGUUUGCUGGACGUAUCAGAAGUGCGAAUGCUGACAUAAGUAACGAUAAAACGAGUGAAAAACUCGUUCGCCGGAAGAUCAAGGUUUCCUGUCCAACGUUAAUCGGGGCAGGGUGAGUCGACCCCUAAGGCGAGGCUGAAAAGCGUAGUCGAUGGGAAACAGGUUAAUAUUCCUGUACUUGUAAUAACUGCGAUGUGGGGACGGAGAAGGUUAGGUUAUCAGGGUGUUGGAUUACCCUGUUUAAGCCGUUAGGUGGGAAUUUUAGGCAAAUCCGGAAUUC
Molecule: ribosomal RNA, 952 nt
Filed under: Phocoenobacter skyensis
Lineage: Bacteria; Pseudomonadati; Pseudomonadota; Gammaproteobacteria; Pasteurellales; Pasteurellaceae
Description: partial 23S ribosomal RNA
Rfam family: Bacterial large subunit ribosomal RNA
Source: RNAcentral